RNAcentral lists this long non-coding RNA (392 nucleotides) under Rattus norvegicus (Norway rat). RNAcentral describes it as "long non-coding RNA NONRATT027191". The record is from RNAcentral. Lineage: Eukaryota; Metazoa; Chordata; Mammalia; Rodentia; Muridae.
CUGGGCAGGUGGCGGGCGCCACCUGAAGGGUCCUCUCUGUUUGGGGGUUUCCUGAGGGCGCAUCUCUGCUGGGGUCCCCUCUAUCUGGGGGGUCCUCUUUGCCUGGGGGCCCACUCUUGGGUUCCUCUCUGCCGAGGGUCUUCUCUGCAUAGGAGUUUCCUCCCUGGAGGAGGGGGGAUCGCCUCUGUCUGGGGUAUCCGGGGGGUGCUCUUCUCAGCCCGGAAGGGCCCUCUCUGGGGUUCCGAUCUGCAGGGGGAAUCCCCUACUGAUGGUCCUCCCUGCCUGGAGGUCUUUUCUUGGGGCCUUCUCUGCCGGGGUUCUUCCUGGGGGAGUCCUUUCUGGCACCUCUCAGGGUCUUUAAGUGCUGCCUUUGUCAGCCGCGCUCUGAUGAG